RNA transcript from Belonocnema kinseyi, 1513 nucleotides. It is a transcript of the gene named sorting nexin-12, with no coding region annotated. The record is from RefSeq and is a predicted model, not a curated record. NCBI's taxonomy places the organism in Eukaryota, Metazoa, Arthropoda, Insecta, Hymenoptera, Cynipidae. The transcript has 5 exons.
CAUUUAGCUUUAAUAAUAGGCGGAUUUUUUAUUAGUGACAAUGGCAGAUACAACAGUUGAUGCCACACGGCGCUUGAAUGUCAAAAAACAAACGUUGGAUGAUGCUUACGCGGCACCUGCGAAUUUUCUUGAAAUUGAUGUGAUUAAUCCUAUUACUCACGGCGUCGGCAAGAAACGAUAUACAGACUACGAGGUUCGAAUGAGGACAAAUCUACCUGUUUUCAAAGUGAAAGAUUCCAGUGUGCGGAGAAGAUAUAGUGAUUUUGAAUGGCUAAGGAAUGAGCUAGAACGGGAUAGCAAAAUUGUAGUACCUCCAUUGCCCGGUAAAGCUUGGAAACGGCAAAUGCCCUUUCGAGGUGACGAUGGUAUUUUUGAAGAAGAUUUUAUCGAGGAUCGCAGAAAAGGUUUAGAAACUUUCGUUAACAAGUGUAAUACCAUACCCCCGUGGGGGAGGGGGUUUUAACAGAAUUUUUAGCACAGCAUGAGACUCGGCACGACCCUGCAAGAAAGGGUUUCGGAGCCGCACACGAGACCAGGCGGAAUCCCUUGAGGGUACCCGGCGUCACGAGUUUCGAUAUGUGCAAUUGUCCUUCACCACGUAGCCUUGUUACUUCCUGGAAGGAACUAUUAAAAACGGUCAACUGUCCUUGUCAGGGCUAUCUCGCCGUCACGCUGUGAACCAUUCGACCACCGGCCUUUUACCACGAACUGGCGGUCCUAUCUCCAAUUAAUAGCUGGGCAUCCCUUAGCACAGAAUGAGCGUUGUCUUCAUAUGUUUCUACAAGAAUUAAUAAUUGACAAGAACUAUGUGCCUGGAAAAAUAAGAAAUACUUAAUUUGGAUGAAGAAAUUGUCAGUUACUGAAAAUCGUAGCAUGGCAUAAUCUGAAUUUUGUUAGAAAUUGACACCAGCGACGAUAAAGUACUGAUCGCCAAGUCCAAGGAUUUGAAGACUGCGCGAAAAGAUUUGACUCGUAAAAACAAGCAGGCGACUAUGUAUAAGUUUUUUCAUCAUAUUAAAUAUAUAAGGGAUAUUAAUGUGUCAUACUCUGGUCAGUUCGUGCUUGAUACCAGAAAUUGGUACUGUCUACACCAUAAGAUAAUAUUCAAAAGGAGAACAUUUUUCUAUCCAUUUGGCAUACCAGGGAAUAUUUUAAGGGUGUGCGAUGCAAUCGAGAUAAUGGGAAUAUUUACCUAGACACUAUUUAAAAAAAGUUAUGUGAACUUAUGUUAUACUUUAUAAAAAAGCGUGAUAAAUUUGAAUAACUAUUCAAUUAAAGUGAAAAUUGAGCAACUUAAUCAACCUCAGAGAACUAUAGGGUAAUAAAUAGAGAAAAGUUAAUUGAACCAUGAACGCCGCUCUCCUCCUUGGCAUGCGCUGUUUUUUUUUGUAGAUACGCGCAAAAUAGAAGGCGUGUUCUGCUGGUGGGUGAUUGAGCGUGACCUCUUUUUUCAAGUCGGCGAAUCAAGCGCAUAUGGAAGAACUAAGAAGGAAAUGUGACACUUACCAAUUCG